RNAcentral lists this microRNA precursor (92 nucleotides) under Branchiostoma floridae (Florida lancelet). Its description in RNAcentral is "mir-2060 microRNA precursor family". It matches the Rfam family "mir-2060 microRNA precursor family". Lineage: Eukaryota; Metazoa; Chordata; Leptocardii; Amphioxiformes; Branchiostomatidae. The record is from Rfam by way of RNAcentral.
UCAUGUUUGUGUGUGGAUGGUGUUCAGCACCAGGUACAGGUUAUGGUUGUGUGUGGAUUGUGUUCAGUACCAGGUACAGGUCAUGUUUGUGU